GGCCAAACCUUUGACAUCUGCCACUAAUGACCACACCUUCGAGAAUUGGCUAGCCCAAAGCCGGCUCAAGUACUAAAGUGGCACUGGGAUUAAGGCAGAGCAAGGACAGGCUAGGAAGUCUGAUGGUGGCAAAAACUCCAUCAACGAUGUCCUCUUUAUUGAUGUUGCCACUUGUGCCGCUCAAGGAGAAAGUGGCAGCAAUGGGGUUGAUGGUGGAGGUGGGCUUUAGCCUCAUCAGAAGUUGCUUAACAGAUGGAUAGCUGAGUUGGGUCAAUCAUGGCAAAAAUGAAGAUGAAAGAGAAUAGGAAGACUGAAGAAAUGUGGUACCUCCAGUCCUCAAUGGAACCACAAUCAGUUGAUGACUGAUGAAUGGCAAAUGGUGAUGACCAAUGAGGGAUGAGCUUCAAGGAAGAUCGAUGCUGGUGAUCGGUGAAUGGCGAGUAGGGACUGUCAAGAUAGACUUUGGAGUAGUGGAUGGUCAUAGAGAGGAGAGCAAAAAUUGAGAAGUGAAAAAUUGAGAACCCUAGGCCUUGAUAGAUAGACAUUUUGAUUUGGGAAUUGGGAUUUGGUUGGGACUUUUUGAGAGAAGAAGAGCCUAGUGAACUAUUUUGAUUUUAGAAUUUGUACG
Molecule: long non-coding RNA, 628 nt
Filed under: Elaeis guineensis (African oil palm)
Lineage: Eukaryota; Viridiplantae; Streptophyta; Magnoliopsida; Arecales; Arecaceae
Description: long non-coding RNA (EGUI_LNC065848)
Source: RNAcentral